GGGCAACCCCCCGUUGGCAGG
This 21-nucleotide microRNA is filed under the name Zea mays. Its description in RNAcentral is "zma-miR399g-5p". Its record names the gene zma-miR399g-5p. The record is from miRBase by way of RNAcentral. Lineage: Eukaryota; Viridiplantae; Streptophyta; Magnoliopsida; Poales; Poaceae.